GAUGAACGCUAGCGGCAGGCCUAACGCAUGCAAGUCGAGGGGGAGGUUACUUUCGGGUAACUGAGACCGGCGUACGGGUGCGUAACGCGUAUACAAUCUGCCUUUCACUGGGGGAUAGCCCGAAGAAAUUUGGAUUAAUACCCCAUAGUAUAGUAAUACGGCAUCGUGAUGCUAUUAAAGCUUAGGUGGUGAAAGAUGAGUAUGCGUUCUAUUAGCUAGUUGGAGAGGUAACGGCUCCCCAAGGCGAUGAUAGAUAGGGGUUCUGAGAGGGAUGUCCCCCACACUGGUACUGAGAUACGGACCAGACUCCUACGGGAGGCAGCAGUGAGGAAUAUUGGACAAUGGUCGGAAGACUGAUCCAGCCAUGCCGCGUGCAGGAUGAAGGUCUUAUGGAUUGUAAACUGCUUUUGUAAGGGAAGAAUAAGGGCUACGCGUAGUUUGAUGACGGUACCUUACGAAUAAGCAUCGGCUAACUCCGUG
RNAcentral lists this ribosomal RNA (480 nucleotides) under uncultured bacterium. RNAcentral describes it as "partial 16S ribosomal RNA". It matches the Rfam family "Bacterial small subunit ribosomal RNA", at positions 28 to 507 of the family's 1533-position model. The record is from RNAcentral.